RNAcentral lists this ribosomal RNA (253 nucleotides) under uncultured bacterium. RNAcentral's name for it is "partial 16S ribosomal RNA". It matches the Rfam family "Bacterial small subunit ribosomal RNA", at positions 524 to 776 of the family's 1533-position model. The record is from RNAcentral.
UACGGGGGGGGCAAGCGUUGUUCGGAAUUACUGGGCGUAAAGGGCGCGUAGGCGGCCUGCUAAGUCGGCCGUGAAAUCCCCCGGCUCAACCGGGGAACUGCGUCCGAUACUGGUGGGCUCGAAUCCGGGAGAGGGAUGUGGAAUUCCAGGUGUAGCGGUGAAAUGCGUAGAUAUCUGGAGGAAUACCGGUGGCGAAGGCGGCAUCCUGGACCGACAUUGACGCUGAACGGCGAAAGCUAGGGGAGCAAACGGG